RNAcentral lists this unclassified non-coding RNA (346 nucleotides) under soil metagenome. Its description in RNAcentral is "partial contains 5.8S ribosomal RNA, internal transcribed spacer 2, and large subunit ribosomal RNA". The stretch from base 1 to 120 matches the Rfam family "5.8S ribosomal RNA", at positions 35 to 154 of the family's 154-position model. The record is from RNAcentral.
GAUGAAGAACGCAGUGAAAUGCGAUACGUAAUGUGAAUUGCAGAAUUCAGUGAAUCAUCGAGUCUUUGAACGCACAUUGCGCCCGCCAGUAUUCUGGCGGGCAUGCCUGUUCGAGCGUCAUUUCAACCCUCAAGCCCUCGGGUUUGGUGUUGGGGAUCGGCGAGCCUUUCUGGCAAGCCGGCCCCGAAAUCUAGUGGCGGUCUCGCUGCAGCCUCCAUUGCGUAGUAGUAAAACCCUCGCAACUGGAACGCGGCGCGGCCAAGCCGUUAAACCCCCAACUUCUGAAUGUUGACCUCGGAUCAGGUAGGAAUACCCGCUGAACUUAAGCAUAUCAAUAAGCGGAGGA